GUAGCUAAGUUGGUAAAAUGCUUGCUUAGAAUGCAUGAGGUCCUGGGUUCAAUCCCCAGC
This 60-nucleotide transfer RNA is filed under the name Neotoma lepida (desert woodrat). It matches the Rfam family "tRNA", at positions 7 to 64 of the family's 71-position model. Rfam says of the family: Transfer RNA (tRNA) molecules are approximately 80 nucleotides in length. Lineage: Eukaryota; Metazoa; Chordata; Mammalia; Rodentia; Cricetidae. The record is from Rfam by way of RNAcentral.